AUCAUAACGUUAUACUAUUACUAUUGGGUUGUCCGGAAUGUUCGUUCCGAUUUACAUUUCGAUUCAAUAUACAUUCAUUGAAUUAUAUAGAUGGCAUUUUGUUCCACAACCUUUCUUGGCAACUUUCUGGCAACUCUUUGGAACUUUCUGGGCAAUCAAAUAGUUUACAAUAUGAGACUUGAAGCUAAGACAAAGACGAAUUAGGACUAAAUAUUAUCAAUAAUUAAAGAUUAUAAUCAAAUCUAAUCGAAGAAUAUAAUCAACUAUAUAUAAAUCAAUACUAAUAUAAAUAUAUCAAUAACUAAGGCUAAAUACUAUCAAAGACAUACAAACUAUAGUAAACACACAUAUACUUAUUAUGUUAGUCUACAUAUAUAGUAAUUGCCAUAUACAGUUGUAUAAUAUGUAUUUAUGCGCAGAGCAUACAUAAUUCUAUUGAGUACAUUGCUUGUCGCCUGUGGUUUAGGUCAAUCAUCAAUAAAGGUUGGUAUUCUUCCUAUAAUUGUCGCAAUAACCAAUGUCUGAAGUCGAACAGAAUAGUUGUUCAGUUCGUGAAGUAUUCUUUUGUCUUGUAGUUUUCGAUUGUGAUGGUAAAUUAGAAGCAUAUUUUCUGAAUCUUGAAUCAGACCUUGCGCCUCUAAAUGUACGAAUUUUUCGGUCGAGGUGUAUCCAGUUUAUUUUGUAAUUUCGAAGUAUUAAGGGUAGGUGGAACUAAACAUUAAGCUGUUAUCUUCGAUGUCUCUUACUUUGGUCCGGUGGUUUCUAAUUAUUUUCAGUAUGAGGAGAUCAAUUCUUAUGAUAUUAGCUUUGUCGUGUAGAUCGCCUUUGUUAACAUAUUUUGUAUCAACCUUUGCCCGUGAUUUCAUUUACGUGGGCCUUUGUGAGUUUGAUGGAUAUUUAUUAUAUUUGUUUUUUGCCAUCUGUAGACAAGGCCACCAUCUCACGCAAUAUCUGAUACUACGUCCAGGUCAAUUAGUACUGCCCGAAGCAUUGAUUUAUAUUGUUUGCCCAAUAAAUGUCAAAUGUAAACUGUGUUGUGCUUGAAACUGUGCCGAGUUUCGAGGAUUAUGUUGUGCUUAUGGUAAUAAACAAAUAGCACGAUCAUCCGAUAAGAUCAUCUUCUUGCAGAGGAUUCAUGGGGAGAGAUUUGCAGUUUUCCAUGUUCUAGGAAAGUAUUUCAGAUUUAAACAGUUGUUGAAUGAUACUGUGUAGUGGUUUGUUAAUGUUAACUACAGCUGGCACAUAGUGCCAUUUCAAAUGCGAUUUCCGCAACUGUGACUCCCUCUUGACGAGAGAACUCAUAGAUACUCAACAUACUGACUCAACUGUUUCACAUUUUUCGCAAGUGAAUGUGGCUGAUCUGUAACGUGCAGAUACAUACAUACAUCCACACACAUACGUGUACACAUAUACGCGUACAUACAUUCGAUGGAUACGAAAGUACAAUGGAGACGAAACUGCUAAUGUGGUAAGUUCAUAGGGCAUGAAGUAAGAGGCCAAGUGAUGACUGGAGGGUCAUUAACACAGCUAUCUUUUCGUUCGAAGGAGCAAACAGCUGCGAGAAUUUGAUGAUAGAAAUAAUUUUAUGGCGCACAUUUCCGUAAUUAAAAGGCUAUUUCUAAGUCAACGCUUUUAAUUUUCCAUGUUUAUCGUGUUCUCAAUAGUUGAGUCAUAAUAGUCCCAAUAGUUAUAUUGACUUGUCAAUCCUAAUCGAAGUUCGUUCGGGUAUCACUAGAACUUGUACAGAACCUGUAUAUUCUUUUUUUUUUUUUUAUUUAUUUAUUUACAUUUUACAAUUUGUCCAGUAGGACAUUUGGUAAAAUAUUAUAGCUUAGUGGUAUAAUAAUAUAACAUGUGGAUGACUACCCCUAGUGGGAUACCAUCUUCGAAUUUGAUUGAUUUAUUUCUUUAGUGUGGUGAGUGUUUUUUGUUAGGUUAUGUCCUUUGUGAGAUCUGUUGGGCGUUUCCUUUUCGAUCUUCUUUUUAUUUGUAUAUUCUUGGUAGCAUUACUCGCACUUUUCUCGCCAAAGAUCAGGGUAGUAAACAAUGUGUAACGCACGAACAUUCUGAUCAGGCACUUUCGUUUUGAGACUUGCUAGACAUCGAAUUCAGCAAUGUCAUUCUCGUGCGAGCUUUUUAGAGCUCCAAGCAGUCGUAGCAGUAGAGUAAAUUAGUCUCUCGGUAGUCAGAGAGAACAGUCUCGAAUCGCUAACGUCAUGAAGCAGUUUCCGAAGAGCUUGAUAUCGUAGAUUAAUUUACUCAGUCGGUAACGUUAGACGAAGCAACGGAUCCUCAAGACAUACUAAAUGUAUUAAGUUUAAUGCAGAAUAUAUUAAUGAUGAAGGUAGAGAUGAGGAAUUAGGUAAAUAAAUAUUAAAUUCAGAUGUUAGGGGCAAAAGGGAAAGAAAACACGAUAGUAGAUAAUACAGAGACAAACUUAACUGCGCAUAGGAGAACGAUAUAUUUAACAUUCAUGAUUUUGAAUUUUGAUUUUGAAUAAUGUGCAGACAAAUUAAUGAAAAACUAUAACCUGGACAAUAAAGUGAACUCUGUCAGGCGCUUUUAGAUUGUCGUGUAGAAAUGAGAACAUAAAAAUUCUUUAGAUUUUUGUCUGGUCGGUUUUGUGCGAUCAAUAAAAUGUAUGUCACGUCAUUUGAGAAAAUUUCUCACAAUUCGUAUCAUACAAUAUGCCGUUCAGAUACAAAUAAAUUCCGUAAUGUAGCAAAGUUUCUUUGCUCACUUACUAUUUACUGAUUCUGUAUCGUGGUAAGUAUUAUCUCGUAUGAAAUUAAUCCGAUAAAUUCCAACAGGAUAUUCAUCAAAAUUUUAUUUCAGGAACUUACCGAAUACGUGCGAGUAUCUGAACUUUAAUCAAAGUGUGAAAUACAUUACGUUAAAGCAUACAUUUGAAGGUUUGUUAUCGCAAUAAAUCCGUUUGUUUCAGUGGUCUCGCAGAUGAUCUAAGGAUGCAUUUGAAUAAAGUAGAAUUUGUACAACAAAGAUAAGUAAUAAAUAUUUUUACCUUUUAUUAAUUUAUAUUGUUAGUAUAUUUAUCGCACCACACAUCCGUACAUUAUUCAAUGUCUUUCGGAUAUGUAAUGUACAUAGUAUAGUCCUACAAUCCUAUAUUGCAACAAGUACAUAAAAUAUAAUGCAAUACAAAAAACAGAACAAUAUACUAUAAUAUAUAGGUAAUAUUCGGAUAACCGUAUAGCCAUGCUUCUUGUGUUUGGUUGGCUCUUCCUCCCCAAUUUUCCGUGCUGUGGCUCCUUACUUAUUCUUUCCAGAAAAUUUUCUUCUCAUAUAUUCGAUGAUUUAUAUACAACAACUUGUAGGGAUGUAUAUUUGUAAAUAUCAUUGAAAUAUGGAUUUUAGGGGAAGAAGAUUAUCGUAAGGAGUUAUGAGAUUAUUGCAUGAAGGAUGUAAACAUACAUAUAGUUGACUUGUAAUUUGAUAUAUGAUGCAUACGCAUAUAUACAUAUACACGAUUUUCGCGUGUUUCUUCAUAUUCUGCUAAUAUGGAAUAAAUCAUUGGGAGUAGGAUAAGAAAGACAAGAGACGGGCUAACAUUGUUUAUUACUUUUUGUAUUCAAGGUAUCUCGAAUGAAUUAUUACAAGCAAUAAUAUAAUCAAAGGUAAUGAAUAAAAAGCGAUGAAACUAAACAAUCAGACGUUACACCUCACUCGUUAUUGGUCACAAUUAUCUCAUUCUCGAAUGAUUGAUUUUAUUUCGCAUUUUUACUGUUCUUCUCUCACGCGCUCUCUCUCUCUCUCUCUCUCUCUCUCUCUCUCUCUCUCCAUUUAAUAAUUUGUACUUCUCUAUUGGCGCAAUCCCUUGCCUCUCUAUAGUCUCUAAGAAACCGGUUGAUUGCUUCACCAACGUCGACAGAUUUGCGAGGUUUUACUAUACGUUAUCUUUACGACGAUAAUAAUGUCGAUGAAACGAUGCGACUCGAUUUUGUAUUUAUUACCAGUCUUCGGCAUCUCUCAAAACGCGUAUUCUAUCGCACGAAAAAUAUAAAAAGAAAAAGGAAGAAAAAAAGAAAUAGGAAAUAUUAAAUAAAACGAAAAAUACAGUAAAAGAUCAUGGACAAUGAUUACUUAGGAAUAAAAGAUACAAAUUCUAUUUCGUUGAUUGAGAAAGGAAAUUUCUCGCUUAGAAUCUAAAGAGAAACUCCUUUAGAAUCUAGAAUGUAGUAGAAAAUUAACGGAAGAAAUCGGAGUGAAAAAGCAUUCGAAAGUUUGAGGCGGCUAUUUUCCUGUUGAGAUCAUUUUUUCUUGUCUCGUUCAUAGUACGCGUGAUUCCAUUUGUAUGCACGCGUGCAUACGCAUCUGAACAAGAACAGGGGGUGGUUAAGUCCGGAAAACUAAAUUGAGUCACAUCGUUACGAAGAUCAUUACGUUUAACGACGACAAAUUAGUCGUCGUUUACAUCAACGCGUUCGAUUCAAUAAAAUCUGGUUGAUUAACAGUAAAAUGAACGUGUUUUAGUCGUAAUAAUUCUUUUUCUUUUUUUUAGUCCAUAAUUACAUACCGUCGUUCUAAAUGGAUGGUUAUUCUGGGAAUAUACAAAGUACGUAGAAAAAGAAGGGAAAGUAAAACGUUUCCGUUUUUACCUAUGAAUUAAAAUGCUCCACCUUUGUAAAUAUGUGAACGUAUCUCGCGUAAUAGCUAGAAUUACGUACUGGCGGUUUUAAAGCGAGUCCUCUCGGGGAAGCGGCAAAUUUCUAUGCGUGGGCAUAACCAGUGCAGUCAUUUGAGGGAAUUCCUGACGAAGGUUCACGAGGUUCGUACUUCUCACACUCUGCAUAUAUCCUUCUUCCGACUUUUAUUUCUUCAUUCAAAUAAAAUUAAUUUUUCAGAAGUCGUUCUUACAGUAUCGACUCCCUAAUUUUUAAAACAUUUUUAUUCAAAUAUAAGUUUAAAAAUUCAAAGUGAAAUUACGUUUUCAUACAUAAAAUUUUAAAUCUUGCAGCUUCAUUAAAAGAAGACGAUCAGUAAACAGAUUUUAAAGAUUAUUUGAAUACCAGAAUGGAGAAGAAUGUGUGAACAGUCGACAGUGUGAAAGUGUUGAGAGACAAAAGUCAAGCCUUGUAUCUUCGCGUGAAAAAUAUUUCGGCAAAAUACACACAGUAAUUUCUUGGACACGGCUUAAAACCGCCGGUAGAAUCGAUGGAUACCGCCGGGUUAAUAUUCCUUUACUUUUAAUCAUAAUGUAUCGUUACAAUGUUCGUAUAACAAUAAAGCAAUAUGCAAAUAGUA
Bombus huntii is the source of this 5262-nucleotide long non-coding RNA. RefSeq lists it as uncharacterized. The transcript has 4 exons. The record is from RefSeq and is a predicted model, not a curated record. NCBI's taxonomy places the organism in Eukaryota, Metazoa, Arthropoda, Insecta, Hymenoptera, Apidae.